AGCAGUCGCCGCGGUAAUACGUACGUCACAAGCGUUAUCCGGACUUAUUGGGCGUAAAGCGCGUCUAGGUGGUUAUGAAAGUCUGAUGUGAAAAUGCAGGGCUCAACUCUGUAUUGCGUUGGAAACUGUGUAACUAGAGUACUGGAGAGGUAAGCGGAACUACAAGUGUAGAGGUGAAAUUCGUAGAUAUUUGUAGGAAUGCCGAUGGGGAAGCCAGCUUACUGGGCAGAUACUGACGCUGAAGCGCGAAAGCGUGGGUAGCAAACAGGAUUAGAUACCCCCGUAGUCCCUGUCUCUUAUACA
RNAcentral lists this ribosomal RNA (303 nucleotides) under uncultured bacterium. RNAcentral describes it as "partial 16S ribosomal RNA". It matches the Rfam family "Bacterial small subunit ribosomal RNA", at positions 507 to 808 of the family's 1533-position model. The record is from RNAcentral.